This 313-nucleotide long non-coding RNA is filed under the name Lathyrus oleraceus (garden pea). Its description in RNAcentral is "Pisum sativum (pea) long non-coding RNA (PSAT_LNC040594)". Lineage: Eukaryota; Viridiplantae; Streptophyta; Magnoliopsida; Fabales; Fabaceae. The record is from RNAcentral.
CUUUUUCUUGAACCCCGAAAUUUUUCUCUGCUCUUUUUUUCAUUUUCUUGAACCCCGAAAUUUUCUCUGCGCAAACGACCCUCGGAUCUCUGCAUUUGAACCCCAUUCUCCUGUUUGCCAAAAUAAAUGGACCCCAUUCUCCGAUUUGGACCCCAGUCGCCUGACGAUAACCCGCGAUCGCCAAUAUGAACCCCGUUCUCCAGAAAAUGCCGCAACAUCUCCCUUUCUCCAUUUGAACCCCAUCUCCAGAAAAUGUCUCCACAUUUCCUUUUCUCCAUUUGAACCCCGUUCUCCAAUCUCUCGUGAUAAUUCC